UCCUACGUGGUCUAGUGGCUAGGAUACCUGGCUUUCACCCAGGAGGCCCGGGUUCGAUUCCCGGCGUGGGAA
Molecule: transfer RNA, 72 nt
Filed under: Cryptotermes secundus
Lineage: Eukaryota; Metazoa; Arthropoda; Insecta; Blattodea; Kalotermitidae
Description: tRNA-Glu (TTC) (tRNA-Glu-TTC-3-1)
Rfam family: tRNA
About the family: Transfer RNA (tRNA) molecules are approximately 80 nucleotides in length. Their secondary structure includes four short double-helical elements and three loops (D, anti-codon, and T loops).
Source: Rfam by way of RNAcentral